AGCGUACACGGUGGAUGCCCUGGCAGUCAGAGGCGAUGAAGGGCGUGCUAAUCUGCGAUAAGCGCCGGUAAGGUGAUAUGAACCGUUAUAACCGGCGAUACCCGAAUGGGGAAACCCAGUGUGAUUCGUCACACUAUCAUUAACUGAAUCCAUAGGUUAAUGAGGCGAACCGGGGGAACUGAAACAUCUAAGUACCCCGAGGAAAAGAAAUCAACCGAGAUUCCCCCAGUAGCGGCGAGCGAACGGGGAGGAGCCCAGAGCCUGAAUCAGCAUGUGUGUUAGUGGAAGCGUCUGGAAAGGCGCGCGAUACAGGGUGACAGCCCCGUACACAAAAGCGCAUGUGCUGUGAGCUCGAUGAGUAGGGCGGGACACGUGGUAUCCUGUCUGAAUAUGGGGGGACCAUCCUCCAAGGCUAAAUACUCCUGACUGACCGAUAGUGAACCAGUACCGUGAGGGAAAGGCGAAAAGAACCCCGGCGAGGGGAGUGAAAAAGAACCUGAAACCGUGUACGUACAAGCAGUGGGAGCACAGGUUUACCUGUGUGACUGCGUACCUUUUGUAUAAUGGGUCAGCGACUUAUAUUCUGUAGCAAGGUUAACCGAAUAGGGGAGCCGGAGGGAAACCGAGUCUUAAUUGGGCGUUAAGUUGCAGGGUAUAGACCCGAAACCCGGUGAUCUAGCCAUGGGCAGGUUGAAGGUUGGGUAACACUAACUGGAGGACCGAACCGACUAAUGUUGAAAAAUUAGCGGAUGACCUGUGGCUGGGGGUGAAAGGCCAAUCAAACCGGGAGAUAGCUGGUUCUCCCCGAAAGCUAUUUAGGUAGCGCCUCGUGAAUUCAUCUCCGGGGGUAGAGCACUGUUUCGGCUAGGGGGCCAUCCCGGCUUACCAACCCGAUGCAAACUGCGAAUACCGGAGAAUGUUAUCACGGGAGACACACGGCGGGUGCUAACGUCCGUCGUGAAGAGGGAAACAACCCAGACCGCCAGCUAAGGUCCCAAAGUCAUGGUUAAGUGGGAAACGAUGUGGGAAGGCCCAGACAGCCAGGAUGUUGGCUUAGAAGCAGCCAUCAUUUAAAGAAAGCGUAAUAGCUCACUGGUCGAGUCGGCCUGCGCGGAAGAUGUAACGGGGCUAAACCAUGCACCGAAGCUGCGGCAGCGACACUGUGUGUUGUUGGGUAGGGGAGCGUUCUGUAAGCCUGUGAAGGUGUGUCGUGAGGCAUGCUGGAGGUAUCAGAAGUGCGAAUGCUGACAUAAGUAACGAUAAAGCGGGUGAAAAGCCCGCUCGCCGGAAGACCAAGGGUUCCUGUCCAACGUUAAUCGGGGCAGGGUGAGUCGACCCCUAAGGCGAGGCCGAAAGGCGUAGUCGAUGGGAAACGGGUUAAUAUUCCCGUACUUGGUGUUACUGCGAAGGGGGGACGGAGAAGGCUAUGUUGGCCGGGCGACGGUUGUCCCGGUUUAAGCGUGUAGGUGUGUGUUCCAGGUAAAUCCGGUUCACUUUAACACUGAGGCGUGACGACGAGGCACUACGGUGCUGAAGCAACAAAUGCCCUGCUUCCAGGAAAAGCCUCUAAGCAUCAGGUAACAUCAAAUCGUACCCCAAACCGACACAGGUGGUCAGGUAGAGAAUACCAAGGCGCUUGAGAGAACUCGGGUGAAGGAACUAGGCAAAAUGGUGCCGUAACUUCGGGAGAAGGCACGCUGACACGUAGGUGAAGUGAUUUACUCAUGGAGCUGAAGUCAGUCGAAGAUACCAGCUGGCUGCAACUGUUUAUUAAAAACACAGCACUGUGCAAACACGAAAGUGGACGUAUACGGUGUGACGCCUGCCCGGUGCCGGAAGGUUAAUUGAUGGGGUCAGCGCAAGCGAAGCUCCUGAUCGAAGCCCCGGUAAACGGCGGCCGUAACUAUAACGGUCCUAAGGUAGCGAAAUUCCUUGUCGGGUAAGUUCCGACCUGCACGAAUGGCGUAAUGAUGGCCAGGCUGUCUCCACCCGAGACUCAGUGAAAUUGAACUCGCUGUGAAGAUGCAGUGUACCCGCGGCAAGACGGAAAGACCCCGUGAACCUUUACUAUAGCUUGACACUGAACAUUGAGCCUUGAUGUGUAGGAUAGGUGGGAGGCUUUGAAGUGUGGACGCCAGUCUGCAUGGAGCCGACCUUGAAAUACCACCCUUUAAUGUUUGAUGUUCUAACGUGGACCCGUAAUCCGGGUUGCGGACAGUGUCUGGUGGGUAGUUUGACUGGGGCGGUCUCCUCCUAAAGAGUAACGGAGGAGCACGAAGGUUGGCUAAUCCUGGUCGGACAUCAGGAGGUUAGUGCAAUGGCAUAAGCCAGCUUGACUGCGAGCGUGACGGCGCGAGCAGGUGCGAAAGCAGGUCAUAGUGAUCCGGUGGUUCUGAAUGGAAGGGCCAUCGCUCAACGGAUAAAAGGUACUCCGGGGAUAACAGGCUGAUACCGCCCAAGAGUUCAUAUCGACGGCGGUGUUUGGCACCUCGAUGUCGGCUCAUCACAUCCUGGGGCUGAAGUAGGUCCCAAGGGUAUGGCUGUUCGCCAUUUAAAGUGGUACGCGAGCUGGGUUUAGAACGUCGUGAGACAGUUCGGUCCCUAUCUGCCGUGGGCGCUGGAGAACUGAGGGGGGCUGCUCCUAGUACGAGAGGACCGGAGUGGACGCAUCACUGGUGUUCGGGUUGUCAUGCCAAUGGCACUGCCCGGUAGCUAAAUGCGGAAGAGAUAAGUGCUGAAAGCAUCUAAGCACGAAACUUGCCCCGAGAUGAGUUCU
This 2776-nucleotide ribosomal RNA is filed under the name Salmonella enterica subsp. enterica serovar Kentucky. RNAcentral describes it as "bacterial LSU rRNA". It matches the Rfam family "Bacterial large subunit ribosomal RNA". Lineage: Bacteria; Pseudomonadati; Pseudomonadota; Gammaproteobacteria; Enterobacterales; Enterobacteriaceae. The record is from RNAcentral.